GAGGAUGAGAACCUCCGGGGGCAGAGGUUCGACCCGAGCGCAGCGAGAGAACGUUGCUUCAGCAACGGCCCGCAGGGCGAGCCACGCAGUGGCGAAGUCAUCCUC
This 105-nucleotide small RNA is filed under the name Enterobacter sp. 10-1. RNAcentral's name for it is "RtT sRNA". It matches the Rfam family "RtT RNA", at positions 18 to 118 of the family's 130-position model. Rfam says of the family: This family represents a bacterial cis-regulatory element known as RtT RNA. RNAcentral also lists the same sequence under 2 other names. Lineage: Bacteria; Pseudomonadati; Pseudomonadota; Gammaproteobacteria; Enterobacterales; Enterobacteriaceae. The record is from RNAcentral.